RNAcentral lists this non-coding RNA (30 nucleotides) under Rattus norvegicus (Norway rat). Lineage: Eukaryota; Metazoa; Chordata; Mammalia; Rodentia; Muridae. The record is from RNAcentral.
UGGCAGGUCAUAUCCUCCAGGUAACACAAU